GAUGAACGCUGGCGGCGUGCCUAAUACAUGCAAGUCGAGCGAACAGAUGAGGAUCUUGCUCCUCUGACGUUAGCGGCGGACGGGUGAGUAACACGUGGAUAACCUACCUAUCAGACUGGGAUAACUUCGUGAAACCGGAUCUAAUACCGGAUCAUAUAUUGAACCGCAUGGUUCUUUAGUGAAAGACGGUUUUUCUGUCACUUAUAGUUGGUUCCGCGCCGCAUUAGCUAGUUGGUAAGGUAACGGCUUACCAAGGCAACGAUGCGUAGCCGACCUGAGAGGGUGAUCGGCGACACUGGAACUGAGACAGGGACGAGAGAACGACGGGAGGCAGCAGUAGGGAAUAUGCCAGAAUGGGGGAAAACAUAAGGGAGGAAGGGGGAGGGAGAGAUGAAGGUGUAAGGAUCGUAAAAGUGGGUUAGUAGGGAAGAAGAAAAGGGUAAGUAAAUAUGAAGGUAAUGACGGUAGCGAAAGAGAAAGCAACGGCUAACUACGUG
RNAcentral lists this ribosomal RNA (497 nucleotides) under uncultured bacterium. Its description in RNAcentral is "partial 16S ribosomal RNA". It matches the Rfam family "Bacterial small subunit ribosomal RNA", at positions 28 to 507 of the family's 1533-position model. The record is from RNAcentral.